CAACGCAACAGGGGAAGGAGAAGAGAAGCGUACUGAAACCUUUACGGUAACUCCGAACGCCGUAACUCCUCCGUCCGAGUUCCGAUCGCCACACCAUUUACGGCCACGUGAUCACCGCGUCGAGCUCUACACUUCUACUAGAACAAUUUCAUUGGAUCCAAUUAGCUUGAGAAAAACGUUCACUCUUGCUUAUGUGAAGCUCGGGUAAGAUGUAGGUCGAGAGGCGUCUCUUUAGGCGUCUGGGCUCCUGAAGCGAAGUGAUUACUGGGUUAUUUUGUUAUACAGUGAUGUAUAUAUAUGUACUUAGCUCUCUCUCCGCAUAACUUGUUCUUUUGAUCCUCUUAGAGCUUUAUGGAGAGACAGGAUUUUGUUUAUGUACAUUUGGGUUUUGAAUAUGUAAAUAUAAGUGUGUAAAUAUUUUCCGGCCAGCCUAGACUUCGCGGGCUAGGUUAAUUAGAAGCUUGUUAUUUUGUAUCUUUGACUCUC
This is a non-coding RNA of Arachis ipaensis, 486 nucleotides long. NCBI's taxonomy places the organism in Eukaryota, Viridiplantae, Streptophyta, Magnoliopsida, Fabales, Fabaceae. The record is from RefSeq and is a predicted model, not a curated record.